GGGAGCGACAAGAAGAUUAAAAGAGCGAGGAAGAGUUGAGGGCUGGCGGCUGUUCUCGGGGAGAACUGCUAGGAGACAGACAUUACUGUAGGAAAAGCUGUGCUCCUCUAACCUCUGUGUACAGACGUACAUCUUCCCAAGUAUCCAGAUCCUUUCCCAGUCCCACCUGCCCCCAUAACACGCCCCGCGCCCUCAGCCCAUUUUCUGAAAACUCUGGAGCUCCAAAGCUACCCAGAGAGAGCUAAAGAGGCCCGAACUGGGGAGUGGGGGGGGGGCGCAGCUCAUCAGUCCUAAAGGGAAGAGGGGGCGGAGGCAAAAAGGGGCAGCAGUAGGCGGACUGGGGUCGGGGGGGGGGUAUCUUGAAACUACCCCGACAGGGAUUGGGGGAGCAGCGUAUAUUCGCUCGUAGGAACGGCGAUCGCAACAGUGCCAGAGGUUAUCGUUUGAGAAGCAAAAGUGUUGGCGGCCCCCCGAGCUCUGGAAGCCGAGAGGAGGAGGAGGCGCGCAGCCCCGGCGGCCAGGCUGGGCGGCCGGCACAAAGGAAGCGGACUCGCGGCGGCGGCGGCCCGCGGCCCUGCUGCACCGAAGUCCCGCACCGGCAGCCAGGAAUAAAGUUUACAUUCUCCGGAGACCGCACCCCCCACCUCCCACCCAGGACCGCGUCCUCCUCCCCCAAACUCCGCUCGGGACCCCGAGCACCGCCCCAGCCUUCCAGCCAGCACAACAAAGAGACACACCGACCGGCGAGGGUAAACAGCCGCUGAGGGCGAGCAGGGCGGGCAGGGCGAGCGCCGCGAGACCAGCAACUCCGGAGUCCCCGCUCGCAGGAGCGUAGUUUCUCCUGUUCUGCUGCAGCCGGCUCGGUAACAUUUGCAAUUUUCGACUUCACCCGCACCCCUCACACCCGAACAUUUUGAACUCACCUUUACUUUCGAACUGAGAGUUGCGGUGGGUGGGAUUUUUGUCUUCCCCAGAUGGUUGAAGGUUACGAUUUUUGUUUUUGGAAACCCUACCACCUCCUUAUCUCGAUUAUUAUUUUUGCAAGAAAAGUAUAAAGAGAGUUGGAGUGGAGGUGAGAUUUGUGAUCGGGAAAGCCCUUGACUCCCUCCUUCUCCGCCUUCCGCCUCUCUCUGAUUAGUUCCUAUCCAGCAGCAGAUUGAAGCAGGAGAUGAUUCUUCUCAAGGUUUGUUCAGCAGCUUCACUUCUAGGCGAAGGCUUCAUGAACCAAGUGACGUCAACCAACAAGGCUUCUCUCUCUCUCCUCUCUCUAACAAUGAAAGUUGCUGUUAACAAGGGAAAAAAGAGAGAGAAUUGUUUAUACCAUUUCAGUUCCAAUAAUAAAUGACCUAUCAGCUCCUAAAGGAGCCAAGGGAGGGAGGGGGGUUGCUUCUUUCUCCAAGAAUACUAUAGCUUCGAGUUUGCAACCGUUCCUUGUCCCAGGAAAAAAGUUAAGAAACUAUUUUUUUUUUUUUUUUGCUUUCAAAAGUAGGGCAGAAAAUAGGAUUGAAAACCUAAUUUUAAAAAACGUAAACUGGAAAAUAGGGAGCAUAAAUUAAUCAUUCUCACCUAAACUUUUUUUCUCGUAAACUCAUAAUUCGGUUGAAGUCUGUAAACCAACUAAAUUAAUAUGCCAAGAAUUCAUGGAUGUUUGGAACUCAAAAAACAGGACGCAAGAUGGUCCGGGAUAAAACGCUAUUGCCCAAACACGGGCAAAUUAAACUAGCUGUAGUGUUGAUGCACUGAAAUAAAUUUAAAUAAAACGUU
Molecule: long non-coding RNA, 1764 nt
Filed under: Lynx pardinus (Iberian lynx)
Lineage: Eukaryota; Metazoa; Chordata; Mammalia; Carnivora; Felidae
Source: RNAcentral